GUGGGGUAUAGUGACACAGUAGCAGAGGGAUUGAGGGCCCUGCUCAGUGAGCUUACAUGUUAGAGGGAGUGGGGUAUAGUGACACAGUAACAGAGGGACUGAGGGCCCUGCUCAGUGAGUUUACAUGUUAGAGGGAGUGGGGUAUAGUGACAAUAACAGAGGGAUUGAGGGCCCUGCUCAGUGAGUUUACAUGUUAGAGGGAGUGGGGUAUAGUGACACAGUAACAGAGGGAUUGAGGGCCUGCUCAGUGAGUUUACAUGUUAGAGGGAGUGGGGUAUAGUGACACAGUAACAGAGGGAUUGAGGGCCUGCUCAGUGAGUUUACAUGUUAGAGGGAGUGGGGUAUAGUGACACAGUAACAGAGGGAUUGAGGGCCCUGCUCAGUGAGUUUACAUGUUAGAGGGAGUGGGGUAUAGUGACACAGUAACAGGGAUUGAGGGCCUGCUCAGUGAGUUACAUGUUAGAGGGAGUGGGGUAUAGUGACACAGUAACAGAGGGAUUGAGGGCCUGCUCAGUGAGUUUACAUGUUAGAGGGAGUGGGGUAUAGUGACACAGUAACAGAGGGAUUGAGG
Molecule: non-coding RNA, 571 nt
Organism: Pelobates cultripes (western spadefoot toad)
Lineage: Eukaryota; Metazoa; Chordata; Amphibia; Anura; Pelobatidae
Source: the annotation of a GenBank genome assembly